AAAUUGAAGAGUUUGAUCAUGGCUCAGAUUGAACGCUGGCGGCAGGCCUAACACAUGCAAGUCGAACGGUAACAGGAAGCAGCUUGCUGCUUCGCUGACGAGUGGCGGACGGGUGAGUAAUGUCUGGGAAGCUGCCUGAUGGAGGGGGAUAACUACUGGAAACGGUAGCUAAUACCGCAUAAUGUCGCAAGACCAAAGAGGGGGACCUUCGGGCCUCUUGCCAUCGGAUGUGCCCAGAUGGGAUUAGCUUGUUGGUGGGGUAACGGCUCACCAAGGCGACGAUCCCUAGCUGGUCUGAGAGGAUGACCAGCCACACUGGAACUGAGACACGGUCCAGACUCCUACGGGAGGCAGCAGUGGGGAAUAUUGCACAAUGGGCGCAAGCCUGAUGCAGCCAUGCCGCGUGUAUGAAGAAGGCCUUCGGGUUGUAAAGUACUUUCAGCGGGGAGGAAGGGAGUAAAGUUAAUACCUUUGCUCAUUGACGUUACCCGCAGAAGAAGCACCGGCUAACUCCGUGCCAGCAGCCGCGGUAAUACGGAGGGUGCAAGCGUUAAUCGGAAUUACUGGGCGUAAAGCGCACGCAGGCGGUUUGUUAAGUCAGAUGUGAAAUCCCCGGGCUCAACCUGGGAACUGCAUCUGAUACUGGCAAGCUUGAGUCUCGUAGAGGGGGUAGAAUUCCAGGUGUAGCGGUGAAAUGCGUAGAGAUCUGGAGGAAUACCGGUGGCGAAGGCGGCCCCCUGGACGAAGACUGACGCUCAGGUGCGAAAGCGUGGGGAGCAAACAGGAUUAGAUACCCUGGUAGUCCACGCCGUAAACGAUGUCGACUUGGAGGUUGUGCCCUUGAGGCGUGGCUUCCGGAGCUAACGCGUUAAGUCGACCGCCUGGGGAGUACGGCCGCAAGGUUAAAACUCAAAUGAAUUGACGGGGGCCCGCACAAGCGGUGGAGCAUGUGGUUUAAUUCGAUGCAACGCGAAGAACCUUACCUGGUCUUGACAUCCACGGAAGUUUUCAGAGAUGAGAAUGUGCCUUCGGGAACCGUGAGACAGGUGCUGCAUGGCUGUCGUCAGCUCGUGUUGUGAAAUGUUGGGUUAAGUCCCGCAACGAGCGCAACCCUUAUCCUUUGUUGCCAGCGGUCCGGCCGGGAACUCAAAGGAGACUGCCAGUGAUAAACUGGAGGAAGGUGGGGAUGACGUCAAGUCAUCAUGGCCCUUACGACCAGGGCUACACACGUGCUACAAUGGCGCAUACAAAGAGAAGCGACCUCGCGAGAGCAAGCGGACCUCAUAAAGUGCGUCGUAGUCCGGAUUGAGUCUGCAACUCGACUCCAUGAAGUCGGAAUCGCUAGUAAUCGUGGAUCAGAAUGCCACGGUGAAUACGUUCCCGGGCCUUGUACACACCGCCCGUCACACCAUGGGAGUGGGUUGCAAAAGAAGUAGGUAGCUUAACCUUCGGGAGGGCGCUUACCACUUUGUGAUUCAUGACUGGGGUGAAGUCGUAACAAGGUAACCGUAGGGGAACCUGCGGUUGGAUCACCUCCUUA
RNAcentral lists this ribosomal RNA (1540 nucleotides) under Escherichia coli. Its description in RNAcentral is "bacterial SSU rRNA". It matches the Rfam family "Bacterial small subunit ribosomal RNA". The record is from RNAcentral. Lineage: Bacteria; Pseudomonadati; Pseudomonadota; Gammaproteobacteria; Enterobacterales; Enterobacteriaceae.